GUUAAAGUUUAAGAGAGAAGAUCAUGGGGGCCGGCCCAGUGGCGCAGUGGUUAAGUGCGCACAUUCCGCUUCAGCAGCCUGGGGUUCCUCGGUUCGGAUGCCGGGUGUGGACAUGUCACAGCUUGGCAAGCCAUGCUGCAGUAGACAUCCCACAUUAAAGUAAAGGAAGAUGGGCACGGAUGUUAGCUCAGGGCCAGUCUUCCUCAGCAAAAAGAGGAGGAUUGGUGGCAGAUGUUAGCUCAGGACUAAUCUUCCUCAAAAAAAAAAGAGAGAGAAGAUCAUGUCUCUUUUUUUCCUUUGUGCGCUUUGUGAGGAGGCCAGCGCAUUGGCAAUUGUACUAAAUCUGCAGAGUCUGCCCCCUGGAAACCACAUGUAGAGGCUGAGUGACUUUUAGGCAGAGACAUGGACAUAUUCCAGGGCUAUGAAUGUUUAUGACUUAAGACUGGCCGUUGGCCUCCACCAUGAACACUUUUUAUUUCAAGGUUCUACAACAGCAAGGUAGUUACGUGAAAGCAAGUUGGGUUAUACCAUCCCUUUUGUAUUAGUUAGCUAUUGCCACAUAAAUUACCACAAACUUAGUGGCUUAAAUUACAUACAUUUAUUAUCGUGGUUUCUGUAGGUCAGGAGUCUAGGCAUGGCUUACCUGGGUCCUCUGCUCAGGUGUCGGCCAAGCUACAUUCUCAUGUGGGAGCAUGGCCAAGUGAGAAGCCGCUUAAGCUCAAGUUGUUGGCGUUGGCAGAAUUCAUGUCGUUGACUGAGGGCCUUGGCUUCUUACUGGCUGUCGGUUGAGGCUGCUUGUGGUUUCUAGAAGCUGCCUGCAGUUCCUUGUCACAUGGGCUUACCCAAUACGGCCCUUUACUUCAUCAAGCCAGCAGAGGAGAGUCUCUGGAGUAGUCUUCUAGCGAGAUAGAGUCCUUUUUUUAUUGUGAAAAAACCCCCACAUAACAUAAAAUUUGCCAUCUUAACCAUUUUUAAGUGUACAGUACAGUAGUGUUAACUACAGAUCUUCCUCGACUUACGAUGGGGUUAUAUCCCAAUAAACCCAUCUUAAGUUGAAAAUAUUUUAAGUCGAAAAUGCAUUUGAUCCACCUAACCUACCAGACAUCAUAGCUUAGCCCAGCCUGCCUUAAACAUGCCCAGAACACUUGCAUUAGCCUACAGUUGGGCAAAAUCAUCUAACACAAAGCCUGUUUUAUAACAAAGUGUUGAAUAUCUCAUGUAACUUAUUGAAUACUGUACCAAAAGUGAAAAACAGAAUGUUCUUUGGGGUAGAGAAUGGUUGUAAAUGUAUCAGUUGUUUACCCUGGAGAUCGCAAGGUUGACUGGGAGCUGUGGCUGUGCGGGAUCAUGAGAGAGGAUCGUACUGCAUAUUGCUAGCCUGGGAAAAGAUCAAAAUUCAGAAUUUGAAGUACAAUUUCUACUGAAUGUAUGGUUUCUUUUGCACCAUCAUAAAGUUGAAAAAUUGUAAGUGGAACCAACGUAAGUUGGGGACUGUCUAUAUAUGCAUAUUGUUGUGUAGCUUUUCCAUCUUGCAAAACUGAAGCUCUGUACCUAUUGAACAACUCCCCAUUUCCCCCUCCCUCAGCCCCUGGUAACCACCAUUCUAUUUUCUGUCUCUAUGAAUUUGACUACUUUAGAUACCUCGUAUAAGUGGAAUCAUACAGUGUCUUUUUGUGACUGGUUUAUUUCACUUAGCAUAAUGUCCUCAAGGUUUAUCCAUGUUGCAGCCUAUGACAAAAUUUCCAUCUUUCUUAAGGCUGAAUAAUAGUCCAUUGUAUGUAUAUACCACAUUUCUUUAUCCAUUCAUCCAUUGAUGGACAUUUAGGUCGCUUCUGCAUUUUGGCUAUUAUGAGUAAUGUUGCAAUGAACCUACGUCUGCAAAUAUCUAUUUAAAAUCUUGUUGUCAGUUCUUUUGGAUAUAUACCCAGAAGUGGGAUUGCUGGAUCAUAUAGUAGUUCUAUUUUUAAUUUUUUGAGGAAUCUCUAUACUGUUUUCCAUAGUGGCUGCACCAUCCUACAUUCCCACUGUAGGUGAUCAGAAUUUGCCACCCCAAAUGUGUCUCUUUGGCUUGAUUAUUUUUAAGAACAAAAGACUCUGAAAGAAACUUUGACUUUCCCCCUAACUGCCCAAAAGAAUUUAGGAUACAAGGCCUGUUCCAGGAAGGAGCUAUCACCACUGAUAACUAUAGGAUAAUGCAAAAUAGCUGUGAUAGAAAGGCACCAACAAGCCAAUUUUUAUGAAAGUUCUGUCUCUCGGAUCACAUUGUCUCUAGGUAGCUCAGCAAGCACUUGUUUAACAAACAUUUGCUUUUCCAUCUCCGUGUGAAUUGCCUUCCUCCCCUCUGAAGUCCCAAACCACUACCCACAACAUCCUCCUUUGUCUUUAGCUGAAGAUGGUAUUUAAGGUGGCGGCUUUGGCCAUUUUGGAGAGUUACUCAGUUUUCCUGGGUUUCUCCCAUGUAUACAUGUUAUUAAACUUUGUUUGAUUUUCUCUUAUUCUGUCUCAUGUCAACCAGCCAGAAGGACCUAGAGGGUAGAGGAAUAGGUCUUCCUCCCCUAUACCACCAAUAGUGUACAAGGGUUCCCUUUUCUCCAUAUCUGCACCAGCACUUGUUAUUUUCUGUGUGUUUUUUUUAUAAUGAUCAUCCUAACAGGGAUGAAGUGAUACCUCAUUGUGGUUUUGAUUUGCACUUCUCUGAUGAUUAGUGAUGUUGAGCAUCUUUUCAUAUGCUUGUUGGCCAUUCGUAUAUCUUCUUUGGAGAAAUGUCUAUUCAAAUCCUUUGCCCAUUUUAAAAUCAGCUUAUUUGUUUUUGUUGUUGUUGAGCUGUAGGAGUUCUUUUUAUAUUCUGGACAUUAACUUCUUAUCCGAUAUAUGAUUUGCAAAUAUUUUCUCCCAUUCAGUAGGUUGCCUUUCACUUUGUUGAUUGUUUCCUUUGAUGUGCAGAGGUUUUUAAGUUUGAUAUAGUCCCAUUUGUCUAUUUUUUGCUUUUGUUGCCUGGCAAGAGUUUUACAUAAUGUAACAUAAUCAUGGAAGUGGCACCCUAUCACCUUCACCAUAUUCUAUUGCUUAGAAGCAAGUCACAAGUCCUGCCCAUACUCAAGUGGAGAGGAUCACACAAAGGCACUGGGAGGAAGGAUCAUGGCAGCCGCCUUGGAGUCUGUCUGCAUGUAAAGGGCAGUAGAAGCCUGCUUCUUAUUCAACAUUUAACAAACAUUUAUCAAGGUCUGUUUCCUGCCAAGCAUUGCACUUGGAGAAGGGUGAAAUAAAUAUUGCCUAGUCCCUGCCCUCCAAGGACUUACAGUUCAACAUUACAGACCCUUAUGGUUCUAGAUAUGGUUGGAAGGGAUCCAGCUUCCUGGAUAAAAAGGACAAGAACAAUCUGAACUGAGGGGCAGAUACACAGUUUGUCACCCAUUCAGUGUGACCUACCUCCUCCAGGCAGCCCUCCCUCUCUCCCCUGCUGAAGUCAUGUCCAAAGGGAAGACUACUGCCCACCACUCAGCCCAGGGAUCAAGGCUCUAACUCCUCAUAAAUACUUAGGAAAUCUCAAAAGUACAAUCAGCCAUCCUUAGGCCUCCUAAAGUAUUAGCUCUUUGAAUCUGGGUAUGGCAGUUACUCAAUAAGAUCAUAGGAAAUAAUUGCCUGUGAGUGCACACAGUAUAAGCCACCCCCUGUUUUCCCUAUGGCCCCUGGGUACGUGCAAUAGAUUUUAAAGCUCAGAAUCCAGCUUACCGAUCUUUGUACCAUUCAUAAACUGGAAAUUAAUUGUUAACAGUGAAUCCAGGAAAACAGAGGAUACUUCAAAGAAGGAAAUACAAGAGCGUGAACUCCACCCAAACAGCCUCUGUUUGACCUGAGGAACAAGGAACCAACCUAUGUUCUGGCUGUGGUGUGAGCAGAUGUUGGGCAUAUUCUGCUGGAGGCAACAGAGAUAGAAUACACACUCAUUAUCUGGCAGGAAGAGUGGGUUUUCCCAUCCAAGCAAGUGACGUAGAGAAUGCCAACCUAUUGGUAUGAAGCUAAGGGGUAGUAUUCGAAUGUUCCAAAUACAUUGAAAACUGUAAACCAAUAUAUCUAAGAAUCCCAGGGAACCCCAAGGAGCAAAAACACAAAGAAAACUACACUGAGGCACUACAGAAUCAAAUUUCUGAAAACCAGUGAUAAAGAGAAAAUCUUAAAGAUAAGAUUGAUCACUGGUUUCUCAUCAAAAACAAUGCAAAUCAGAGAGUGGUGGGGCAACAUCUUUAAAGUACUGAAAGAAAAACACUGUCAACCUAGAAUUUUAUAUCCAGUGAAAAUGUCCUUCAAAGAUGAAGGCAAAAUAAAGACAUUUCAGAAAACCAAAGCUAAGAGAAUUCAUCACUAGUGAAAUUGUACUACAAGAAAUGCUAAAGGAAGUUCUUCAGGCUGAAGGAAGGCUGAUACCAGAUGGACACGUGAAUUUAUGCAAAGGAAUGAAGAGUAUCAGAAAUGGUAAAUAUGUGGGUAAGUAUAAAAGACGUUUUUCUUGUUUAUAAUGUCUUUAAAAGAUAAAUAACUGCUUAAAUGAGAAUAAUAAUAGUGUAUUAUGGGAUUUAUAACAUUUGUAGAAGUAGAAUAUGAGCGUAAUAGCAUAAAGAAUGGAGGAGAUGGGAUGGAAGUAUAUUGUUAUAAGAUUCUUACAUUAUAUGUUAAAUGCCAUAACAUUUAAAGGUAGACUGUGAUAAAUUAAAGAUUCAUAUUGUAAAGCUUAGAGCAACCACUAAAAAAAUUAAAAAGGUAUAGCUAAUAUGUCAAUAGAAGAGAGAAAAUGGAUUCAUAAAAAAUAAUCCAAGAGAAGACAGGAAAAGAGGUAAAAAGGAAGAAAGAGCAGAUGGGACAAACAGAAGUGUAGGACUACUGUUGUUUCUGAUAUCUUAUACCUAUCAGGUAAGAAGGAAGACCGUAAAACAUCUUGUAUUUACUUCUCAAAAUUAGAAUGAGAUAAAGAAUGAGUAAGUAGAGGCCGGCCCCAUGGCCAAAUGGUCAAGUUUGCACACUCUGCUUUGGCGGCCCAGGGUUUCACCAGUUCGGAUCCUGGGCAUGGACCUAUCACUGCUUCUCAAGCCAUGCUGAGGUGACAUCCCACAUAGCAGAACUAGAAGGACCCACAACUAGAAUAUACAACUAUGUACUGAGGGGCUAGGGGAGAAGAAGAAGAAAAAAGAUUGGCCAACAGAUGAUAGCUUAGGGCCAAUCUUUGUUUGUUUGUUUUUGUUUUUUUUGAGGAAGAUUAGCCCUGAGAUAACAUCUGCUACCAGUCCUCCUCUUUUUUCUGAGGAAGACUGGCCCUGAGCUAACAUCCAUGCCCAUCUUCCUCUACUUUAUAUGUGGAACGCCUACCACAGCAUGGCUUGCCAAGUGGUGCCAUGUCUGCACCCGGGAUCUGAACCAGCGACCCCUGGGCCACCAAAGCAGAACGUGCGCACUUAACCACUGUGCCACAGGGCCGGUCCAGGGCCAAUCUUUAAAAAAAAUGAAUGAGUAACUAAACAUGAUAUCCAGACUCCUACAUAGAAUUCAGUAGCUUUUGUUGAUGAUAACAUCAGCUACAUUCUGAUUCAUUCAGCAUUGAACAGUAGCUUAAGCCAUUAAAAACUUUAAAAAACUCAAUUAGGGCAAUUAACCAUGUUAUCAAGGACCUGGGCUUUUAAAACUCUUCCACUGUGUAGUCAUCCUUAACUCAUCCCAUGAACAUAACAGUGCUGUGAUAGCUCCAAGCAUCAUGUCCUCACAAUCAGCAUCCCAAGCAGGGAAAAAAGGUCAGGAGCAAAAAUCUUUGUCCUAACGAGGCUCUGUCUUUUUAUCUGGGAAGCAACAUCUUCCUUAGAAUCCCCCAGAAGUCUUCCCUUUAUGUCUUAUCAGACAGUACUGGGUAAUAUGGCUACCCAUGGCUGGCUGCAAGGGUGCCUGGGUCAUUGAGUAUCUGGAAAAGGAGAACAGAGGUGCUAUGUUUGGCUAAGAUGAAUUGUGAUUCUUUCUUUGAGGUUGGGCACGUUGCUGCCCAGAACAAAACUGAGAUUCUGUUAGCAAGGAAUUAGAAGGGAGUGGAUAUAGGGUAGGCAUAUAGGUGUCUACUAGGAUCAGUUGUGGAAGCAUAGAAAAAGAAGAAUCUCAGAGGCCAAAAUUGGCACAGCUCAAUCUGGCACUGUACUGGAACAAGAAUACCCUGAUACAGGAACUCCAGUAGUUGAAUCUUGAGAUGGGUGUUUGCUAUUGUGGAGAUGGAUACAUCAGUCUCUCCUUAUUCAUUUAUUUAUUUAACAGACUUUUAUUGUAUCAGGUAUUGUUGUAGUCUCUGGAAUUGUAGCAGUGGAAAAAUCAGACAAAAUUCGUUGCCCCCAUGGCGCUUACAUUCUAGUGAAUGCAUCUUACCUGAAUGCAACUGAUUCCAUGUUCACCAGUAAAUUUUCUAAUUGUAGUUGGGUUUCUCAUGGCCCCCAAGCAGUCCCACAUCUCAUUAUGAAUUAAGAAAUUGAUAUUCUUAUUUCAUAUAUCAGUCUCUUGGUUGAUGUGAGUCCUCCUAGGGACACAUUCACCUUUAGUGAAGUGACAAAUCGUUUCUUUUUUAAAUUAUUAUUUUAUUGAGGUCACAUUAGUUUAUAUCAUCGUGUAAAUUUCAGGGGUACAUCAUUAUAUUUCGACUUCUGUAUAGAAUGCAUUGUGUUCACCAUCAAAAAUCUAGUUUCCCUCUGUCACCAUACAUGUAUGCCCCUUUAUCCCUUUUUCUCUCCUCCCACCCACUUCCACUCUGGUAACCAUCAAUCUGUUCUAAAAUAUGGAGCACUUCACACAUUUGCAUGUCAUUCUUGUGCAGGGGCCAUGCUAAUCUUCUCUGUAUUGUUCCAAUUUUAGUAUAUCUGCUGCCAGAGUGAGCACACAAAUCAAUUUCUGACCUGCAUAUCUGAGGGUCAGUACCUGAACCAAGUUUAGUUCAACAAGGCAUUUCAACCCUGUGAGCCAUCAUGGGAGACAGCCAGCCACACAGCUUUCUCUGGUUAAUACCCAAUAGUGCAUGUUUCCCCUAUUUGGAAGUGUUUAAACUUAUUCAUAUGUAUGAAAGGGAUACAAGAAGGAAAUAUUAAAUUAUAAGCAUUUAAAUCUAUCCCAAAAAAGGAGAACUGACCUUGAAACUGUGACUUGUGAAAUGUAUUCUGAACUAAUUGGAUUAAAAUUCAUCCUUAGAGGAGUCAAGGUUAAAAAAAUUUUCCAAUUCGUGAACAAUUAGAUUGUUUCUUUCCUCCCCACCCCCCGCCAUUUCAAACAAUACUGCUAUGAAGAUUCUUGUAUGUCAUUGAGUAUAAGAGCAAUAAUUUAUAGGGUAUUUGCCUAGGACUGGAAUGCUGGGUCGGAGGGUAUAUGCAUGUUCAACUUUAUGAAAUAGAGCCAAAUUGCUCUCCAAAGUGAUUAUGCCAAUUCACAAUUUCCACUAGCAGCGAAUGAGAAUUCUUGGUGCUUUCUGUCCUCACCAGCAGUUGGUAUUUUCAGACUUUUUGGUUUUUGCUUGUCUGAUGGGUAAGAAAUGGUAUCUUGUUGUGGUUUGAAUCUGAUUAAUGUGAUAUUGAUCUUUUCAUAUAUUUAAUGGCCAUUUAUUUUUUUCUUCUACUUGAAUUGCCAUUUCGUGACUUUUUGAUUUUCCAUUUUUGAUUGGCUUCUUUAUUUUUUUGUACUCAUUUGUAGUAACUCUUUUAUAUAAUUAAUUAAUUUUUUUUUUCUGAGAGAGAUUUGCCCUGAGCUAACAUCUGUGGCCAGUCCUCCUCUUUUUUUGCUUGAGGAAGAUUAGCCCUGAGCUAACAUCUGUGCCAAUCUUCCUCUAUUUUGUAUUUGGGUUGCUGCCACAGCAUGACUGACGAGUGGCAUAGUUCCUGGGCUGCCGAAGUGGAAUGCGCCGAACUUAACCACUACAGUACAGGGCUGACCCCUAUAAUUAAUUAUCCUAAUUCCCCACCCCUCUUUUUUGUUAUUUUUGUUGGAAACAUAUACUAAAUCUGUGUCUAGGAUAUUUUUCUUUGUUAAUAGUGUCUUUGAUCAUAUGGAAAUUUCUCAAUUUAAAGUAGUCAAAUUUAUCAAUCCAUUUGGAAUGAAGACUAUGUUAUUGGGUACGAGCACAUUCAAAAUUUUUAUAUUUUCAUGGUGAAUUUUUCCUAUUCUCAUGUUUGUGCUUCUGUAUCUUUAUAAUAGUCUUUUAUUUAAAGUCCAUUUUUUAUGAAAUAAAUACAGCUUUAUUUUUGUAAGUAUUUAUCUGAUAUGUCUGUUCUCCUAAUUUUGAUUUUCAACCUUAGUGUAUCAUUGUCUUAGUGUCAUACAAGGAACGGACCAGUAGGAGCAGUCUACUCUACCUGCAGAAAUUAAGGGCCCUGUAGCCCCAGUACCAGCUUACAUGCUUACCAUUCUCAUCUUGAAUUUCAUGCUUCCUUCAGUCCCCUCAU
This 8447-nucleotide long non-coding RNA is filed under the name Equus asinus (donkey). RNAcentral's name for it is "lncRNA (ENSEASG00005036203.1)". Lineage: Eukaryota; Metazoa; Chordata; Mammalia; Perissodactyla; Equidae. The record is from RNAcentral.